This 474-nucleotide ribosomal RNA is filed under the name uncultured bacterium. RNAcentral describes it as "bacterial SSU rRNA". It matches the Rfam family "Bacterial small subunit ribosomal RNA", at positions 27 to 518 of the family's 1533-position model. The record is from RNAcentral.
GGACGAACGCUGGCGGCGUGCUUAACACAUGCAAGUCGAGCGAUGAAGCUUCUUCGGGAGUGGAUUAGCGGCGGACGGGUGAGUAACACGUGGGUAACCUGCCUCAUAGAGGGGAAUAGCCUUUCGAAAGGAAGAUUAAUACCGCAUAAGAUUGUAGUACCGCAUGGUACAGCAAUUAAAGGAGUAAUCCGCUAUGAGAUGGACCCGCGUCGCAUUAGCUAGUUGGUGAGGUAACGGCUCACCAAGGCGACGAUGCGUAGCCGACCUGAGAGGGUGAUCGGCCACAUUGGGACUGAGACACGGCCCAGACUCCUACGGGAGGCAGCAGUGGGGAAUAUUGCACAAUGGGGGAAACCCUGAUGCAGCAACGCCGCGUGAGUGAUGACGGCCUUCGGGUUGUAAAACUCUGUCUUUGGGGACGAUAGUGACGGUACCCAAGGAGGAAGCCACGGCUAACUACGUGCCAGCCGCUGC